Molecule: ribosomal RNA, 441 nt
Filed under: uncultured Lactarius
Lineage: Eukaryota; Fungi; Basidiomycota; Agaricomycetes; Russulales; Russulaceae
Description: eukaryotic LSU rRNA
Rfam family: 5.8S ribosomal RNA (bases 31-184)
Source: RNAcentral
AAUUUUUUGCGCUCGACGCGUGAUCAAUACAACUUUCAACAACGGAUCUCUUGGCUCUCGCAUCGAUGAAGAACGCAGCGAAAUGCGAUACGUAAUGUGAAUUGCAGAAUUCAGUGAAUCAUCGAAUCUUUGAACGCACCUUGCGCCCCUUGGUAUUCCGAGGGGCACACCCGUUUGAGUGUCGUGAAAAUCUCAACCUCCUCGGUUUCUUUUGAACACCGAAGGAGGGUUGGACUUUGGAGGGCUUUGCUGGACCACUUGAAAGGCCAGCUCCUCUCAAAUGAAUUAGCGAGGUUCCCUUUGCCAAUCCUCGACGUGUGAUAAGAUGCUUCCAUGUCUUGGUCCUUUGGCUCUGUUGCCCCUUGGGACCUGCUUCCAAUCGUCUCUCGGCGAGACAAUGUUCGAGCGUGCCUCGACCACAUACCCUGACCUCAAAUCGGG